CAUUAUACCGCGAAACUGCGAAUGGCUCAUUAAAUCAGUUAUCGUUUAUUUGAUAGUACCUUACUACUUGGAUAACCGUGGUAAUUCUAGAGCUAAUACAUGCUAAAAAUCCCGACUUCGGAAGGGAUGUAUUUAUUAGAUUAAAAACCAAUGCCCUUCGGGGCUCACUGGUGAUUCAUAAUAACUUCUCGAAUCGCAUGGCCUUGCGCCGGCGAUGGUUCAUUCAAAUUUCUGCCCUAUCAACUUUCGACGGCUGGGUCUUGGCCAGCCAUGGUGACAACGGGUAACGGAGGGUUAGGGCUCGACCCCGGAGAAGGAGCCUGAGAGACGGCUACUACAUCCAAGGAAGGCAGCAGGCGCGCAAAUUACCCAAUCCCGACACGGGGAGGUAGUGACAAUAAAUACUGAUACAGGGCUCUUUAGGGUCUUGUAAUUGGAAUGAGUACAAUUUAAAUCCCUUAACGAGGAACAAUUGGAGGGCAAGUCUGGUGCCAGCAGCCGCGGUAAUUCCAGCUCCAAUAGCGUAUAUUAAAGUUGUUGCAGUUAAAAAGCUCGUAGUUGAACCUUGGGCCUGGCUGGCCGGUCCGCCUCACCGCGUGCACUGGUCCGGCCGGGUCUUUCCCUCUGGGGAACCGCAUGCCCUUCACUGGGUGUGCUGGGGAACCAGGACUUUUACUUUGAAAAAAUUAGAGUGUUCAAAGCAGGCCUAUGCUCGAAUACAUUAGCAUGGAAUAAUAGAAUAGGACGUGUGGUUCUAUUUUGUUGGUUUCUAGGACCGCCGUAAUGAUUAAUAGGGACAGUCGGGGGCAUCAGUAUUCAAUUGUCAGAGGUGAAAUUCUUGGAUUUAUUGAAGACUAACUACUGCGAAAGCAUUUGCCAAGGAUGUUUUCAUUAAUCAGGAACGAAAGUUAGGGGAUCGAAGACGAUCAGAUACCGUCGUAGUCUUAACCAUAAACUAUGCCGACUAGGGAUCGGACGAAGUUAUUUUUUGACUCGUUCGGCACCUUACACGAAAGUAUAAGUUCUG
RNAcentral lists this ribosomal RNA (1027 nucleotides) under Thyridium curvatum. Its description in RNAcentral is "SSU rRNA". It matches the Rfam family "Eukaryotic small subunit ribosomal RNA", at positions 72 to 1108 of the family's 1831-position model. Lineage: Eukaryota; Fungi; Ascomycota; Sordariomycetes; Thyridiales; Thyridiaceae. The record is from RNAcentral.